Molecule: ribosomal RNA, 615 nt
Filed under: uncultured bacterium
Lineage: Bacteria
Description: bacterial SSU rRNA
Rfam family: Bacterial small subunit ribosomal RNA
Source: RNAcentral
CCUACGGCAGCAGUGGGGAAUUUUGGACAAUGGGCGCAAGCCUGAUCCAGCAAUGCCGCGUGAGUGAAGAAGGCCUUCGGGUUGUAAAGCUCUUUUGUCAGGGAAGAAACGGUUGGGGCUAAUAUCCUCAGCUAAUGACGGUACCUGAAGAAUAAGCACCGGCUAACUACGUGCCAGCAGCCGCGGUAAUACGUAGGGUGCAAGCGUUAAUCGGAAUUACUGGGCGUAAAGCGUGCGCAGACGGUUUUGUAAGUCUGUCGUGAAAGCCCCGGGCUUAACCUGGGAAUUGCGAUGGAGACUGCAAGGCUUGAAUCUGGCAGAGGGGGGUAGAAUUCCACGUGUAGCAGUGAAAUGCGUAGAGAUGUGGAGGAACACCGAUGGCGAAGGCAGCCCCCUGGGUCAAGAUUGACGCUCAUGCACGAAAGCGUGGGGAGCAAACAGGAUUAGAUACCCUGGUAGUCCACGCCCUAAACGAUGUCUACUAGUUGUCGGGUCUUAAUUGACUUGGUAACGCAGCUAACGCGUGAAGUAGACCGCCUGGGGAGUACGGUCGCAAGNUUAAAACGUUAAUUGAAUUGACGGNUUGAGACGNGCGAGACGACGACGAGGAGGAGG